AACGAACGCUGGCGGCGCGCUUAACACAUGCAAGUCGAACGAGAAGGCGUAGCAAUACGCUUGUACAGUGGCGAACGGGUGAGGAAUACAUGGGUAACCUACCCUCGAGUGGGGGAUAACCCGCCGAAAGGCGGGCUAAUACCGCGUACGCUUCCGAUCUUGCGGGAUUGGAAGGAAAGCUGUCCCUUGGGGAUGGCGCUCAAGGAUGGGCUCAUGUCCUAUCAGCUUGUUGGAGGGUAACGGCCUACCAAGGCAUCGACGGGUAGCUGGUCUGAGAGGACGAUCAGCCACACUGGCACUGCGACACGGGCCAGACUCCUACGGGAGGCAGCAGUGAGGAAUAUUGCGCAAUGGGCGAAAGCCUGACGCAGCGACGCCGCGUGGGGGAUGAAGGUCUUCGGAUUGUAAACCCC
This 413-nucleotide ribosomal RNA is filed under the name uncultured bacterium. Its description in RNAcentral is "bacterial SSU rRNA". It matches the Rfam family "Bacterial small subunit ribosomal RNA", at positions 29 to 433 of the family's 1533-position model. The record is from RNAcentral.